This 682-nucleotide ribosomal RNA is filed under the name uncultured bacterium. RNAcentral describes it as "bacterial SSU rRNA". It matches the Rfam family "Bacterial small subunit ribosomal RNA", at positions 68 to 765 of the family's 1533-position model. The record is from RNAcentral.
GAGAGAAGGAGCUUGCUUCUUCGAUCGAGUGGCGAACGGGUGAGUAACGCGUGAGGAACCUGCCUCAAAGAGGGGGACAACAGUUGGAAACGACUGCUAAUACCGCAUAAGCCCACGAUCCGGCAUCGGAUUGAGGGAAAAGGAUUUAUUCGCUUCAGGAUGGACUCGCGUCCAAUUAGCUAGUUGGUGAGGUAACGGCCCACCAAGGCGACGAUCGGUAGCCGGACUGAGAGGUUGAACGGCCACAUUGGGACUGAGACACGGCCCAGACUCCUACGGGAGGCAGCAGUGGGGAAUAUUGCACAAUGGGGGAAACCCUGAUGCAGCGACGCCGCGUGGAGGAAGAAGGUCUUCGGAUUGUAAACUCCUGUUGUUGAGGAAGAUAAUGACGGUACUCAACAAGGAAGUGACGGCUAACUACGUGCCAGCAGCCGCGGUAAAACGUAGGUCACAAGCGUUGUCCGGAAUUACUGGGUGUAAAGGGAGCGCAGGCGGGAAGACAAGUUGGAAGUGAAAUCUAUGGGCUCAACCCAUAAACUGCUUUCAAAACUGUUUUUCUUGAGUAGUGCAGAGGUAGGCGGAAUUCCCGGUGUAGCGGUGGAAUGCGUAGAUAUCGGGAGGAACACCAGUGGCGAAGGCGGCCUACUGGGCACCAACUGACGCUGAGGCUCGAAAGUGUGGG